RNAcentral lists this non-coding RNA (30 nucleotides) under Mus musculus (house mouse). The record is from RNAcentral. Lineage: Eukaryota; Metazoa; Chordata; Mammalia; Rodentia; Muridae.
UCCAAUGAGGUAGUGCACGGUAAAAAUGCC